UGUCAUAUCAUGUUGAAACAGUAGUUCUUGUCUGAUCACCAAAGUUAAGCAACAUCAAGCCUGAUCAGUAGCUAGAUGGGUGACUGUGUGGGAAUAUCAGGUGUUGUAAG
Acanthosepion pharaonis is the source of this 110-nucleotide non-coding RNA. The record is from the annotation of a GenBank genome assembly. NCBI's taxonomy places the organism in Eukaryota, Metazoa, Mollusca, Cephalopoda, Sepiida, Sepiidae.